RNAcentral lists this ribosomal RNA (1361 nucleotides) under uncultured bacterium. Its description in RNAcentral is "bacterial SSU rRNA". It matches the Rfam family "Bacterial small subunit ribosomal RNA", at positions 28 to 1381 of the family's 1533-position model. The record is from RNAcentral.
AUUGAACGCUGGCGGCAGGCCUAACACAUGCAAGUCGAGCGGUAGCACAGAGAGCUUGCUCUCGGGUGACGAGCGGCGGACGGGUGAGUAAUGUCUGGGAAACUGCCUGAUGGAGGGGGAUAACUACUGGAAACGGUAGCUAAUACCGCAUAACGUCGCAAGACCAAAGUGGGGGACCUUCGGGCCUCAUGCCAUCAGAUGUGCCCAGAUGGGAUUAGCUAGUAGGUGGGGUAACGGCUCACCUAGGCGACGAUCCCUAGCUGGUCUGAGAGGAUGACCAGCCACACUGGAACUGAGACACGGUCCAGACUCCUACGGGAGGCAGCAGUGGGGAAUAUUGCACAAUGGGCGCAAGCCUGAUGCAGCCAUGCCGCGUGUGUGAAGAACGCCUUCGGGUUGUAAAGCACUUUCAGCGGGGAGGAAGGCGGUGAGGUUAAUAACCUCAUCGAUUGACGUUACCCGCAGAAGAAGCACCGGCUAACUCCGUGCCAGCAGCCGCGGUAAUACGGAGGGUGCAAGCGUUAAUCGGAAUUACUGGGCGUAAAGCGCACGCAGGCGGUCUGUCAAGUCGGAUGUGAAAUCCCCGGGCUCAACCUGGGAACUGCAUUCGAAACUGGCGGGCUAGAGUCUUGUAGAGGGGGGUAGAAUUCCAGGUGUAGCGGUGAAAUGCGUAGAGAUCUGGAGGAAUACCGGUGGCGAAGGCGGCCCCCUGGACAAAGACUGACGCUCAGGUGCGAAAGCGUGGGGAGCAAACAGGAUUAGAUACCCUGGUAGUCCACGCCGUAAACGAUGUCGAUUUGGAGGUUGUGCCCUUGAGGCGUGGCUUCCGGAGCUAACGCGUUAAAUCGACCGCCUGGGGAGUACGGCCGCAAGGUUAAAACUCAAAUGAAUUGACGGGGGCCCGCACAAGCGGUGGAGCAUGUGGUUUAAUUCGAUGCAACGCGAAGAACCUUACCUGGUCUUGACAUCCACAGAACUUUCCAGAGAUGGAUUGGUGCCUUCGGGAACUGUGAGACAGGUGCUGCAUGGCUGUCGUCAGCUCGUGUUGUGAAAUGUUGGGUUAAGUCCCGCAACGAGCGCAACCCUUAUCCCUUGUUGCCAGCGGUUAGGCCGGGAACUCAAAGGAGACUGCCAGUGAUAAACUGGAGGAAGGUGGGGAUGACGUCAAGUCAUCAUGGCCCUUACGACCAGGGCUACACACGUGCUACAAUGGCAUAUACAAAGAGAAGCGACCUCGCGAGAGCAAGCGGACCUCAUAAAGUAUGUCGUAGUCCGGAUUGGAGUCUGCAACUCGACUCCAUGAAGUCGGAAUCGCUAGUAAUCGUAGAUCAGAAUGCUACGGUGAAUACGUUCCCGGGCCU